CGCCGCGUGGAGGAUGAAGCCCUUGGGUGUAAACUCCUUCGACUGGGAAGAUUAUGACGGUACCAGGUCGGAAGAAGCACCGGCUAACUCUGUGC
Molecule: ribosomal RNA, 95 nt
Filed under: uncultured bacterium
Lineage: Bacteria
Description: partial 16S ribosomal RNA
Source: RNAcentral